This 626-nucleotide ribosomal RNA is filed under the name bacterium 4878K2-B27. Its description in RNAcentral is "bacterial SSU rRNA". It matches the Rfam family "Bacterial small subunit ribosomal RNA", at positions 55 to 668 of the family's 1533-position model. The record is from RNAcentral.
AUGCAAGUCGAGCGGUAACAGAUUGAUAGCUUGCUAUCAAUGCUGACGAGCGGCGGACGGGUGAGUAAUGCCUGGGAAUAUGCCCUGAUGUGGGGGAUAACUAUUGGAAACGAUAGCUAAUACCGCAUAAUCUCUUCGGAGCAAAGAGGGGGACCUUCGGGCCUCUCGCGUCAGGAUUAGCCCAGGUGGGAUUAGCUUGUUGGUGGGGUAAUGGCUCACCAAGGCGACGAUCCCUAGCUGGUCUGAGAGGAUGAUCAGCCACACUGGAACUGAGACACGGUCCAGACUCCUACGGGAGGCAGCAGUGGGGAAUAUUGCACAAUGGGGGAAACCCUGAUGCAGCCAUGCCGCGUGUAUGAAGAAGGCCUUCGGGUUGUAAAGUACUUUCAGUUGUGAGGAAGGCAGUAAAGUUAAUAGCUUUAUUGUUUGACGUUAGCAACAGAAGAAGCACCGGCUAACUCCGUGCCAGCAGCCGCGGUAAUACGGAGGGUGCGAGCGUUAAUCGGAAUUACUGGGCGUAAAGCGCAUGCAGGUGGUCUGUUAAGCAAGAUGUGAAAGCCCGGGGCUCAACCUCGGAACAGCAUUUUGAACUGGCAGACUAGAGUACUGUAGAGGGGGGUAGAAUU